GAGGCCUUCUGGGUGGGGUUGGCGAGAAGCAAGAACGGGUGGGGGAGAAGGUCACUGUCUUAGCGGAUAGCGAGAUUUAUUUCUUUGGAUCCCGGAGAGCCUCAUGGGGAUGGCUUUGAUGCCAGACUCCUAGAAAUAUCUCUGAAGGACAUCCCUUCCUCACCCCCCUCACCCCUCCCGCGCAACUCACCCACCCACCCACACCACUCUCCUCUUUUCUCCUAAGAACCCUUGGAAAUUGGACCAUCAGGUUUUCCCAGAAUCUCCCACCCCUGCAAGGCUAGGGGCUGUAGGGCCAGGCCAGGCUUCUCUGAGCCUUGCGCACCCGCCCGCAGAGCCAUGUCUGGGUUCUCAUUACCACUACAAAGCCAGACGGACUGAGACUCCUAAAGCUGCGUUUUCAAAUGAGAACAUCAAGAGGCCAGAAACUUCCAAGGCAGCCCGCGGACGCUAUGCCGCCUGCUUUCCUGGCUUUAUCUCUAGGGAAAGUUCCAUGUUAAGAACCAGAUGCCAACAUUCCCGGACAGUUUAUGGCAUCCGGGUCCCUGGAGGGUGCCCAUCUGCAGUUUAGAGUGUUAGCUGCAAUUAUUUAUCGCCUGUCCUGGAGAGGAGUUCCUGAGCAUGGAUGUCCUCUGUUGGCCCUGGGGGGGUGGGGGGGGGCUGUUGGGAGGCGGUGCGACUGUUUCCCAUCCUGUUAUCUGCUUCAGCCUAGCUGGUGUGGUUUUCGAGGAAACAGCAUCUGGAUUACAUAAGGGUUCAAGUUUUCUUUCUUUCUUUCUUUCUUUCUUCCUUUCUUCCUUUCUUUCCUUGUCUAUUUAAUACCUUGGCAAGAGGGAGCCCUUACUCUGAAACCAGAUAACCGAAUUUGGGUUUAGAAUGGCCUUAGAUGAGGGGCAAAGGCGGGGGGGGGGGGGAGAGAAAAUGAACAAAGCCGCAAAAAGCAAACAAGGAGGUUGUUUAUUUUUUCUCCCUUGGGUUUUUUUUUUUUUUUUUUUUUUUGAAGACCUGCCUAACCUCUUCUACUUCUUGUCGCUCAUAGCUAAUAAAUUGUCUUAACCUAGCGCCGCAGCUACUGCUGUGGCUUAGCAGUCAUUGCCGCCCCCCCCCCAUCUCCUGUGCCACAAUCUAGCCCAUAAUUCCUUCUAGGAUUCACUGGAAAUUCUGCCAGCCAGGAGAUCACUGUGAACCGGGGUAAACGCCGUGCUAAAUCCAAUUGCUUUCAACUGUCUGAUCUCCCGGUAGGGAGAUCACCUUUCAGCUCCGCUCAAAGAAAGCAAAGUUUGGGAAGUUUGAUGGAAGGGGUGGGGGGGUGGGGAGUGAUUUAACUUCCAACACAGCAAAUAUUUAGUUACAGAUGCGGUGAAGAACCCGGAUCGGUGGCCGCCUUUGGCGUUCACAAAGGAUUUUCCUUGCCUUGCUGCCCAAUAGUGGAACCCUGGAGGAAAGGCCAAGUGAAAUUGGAUCUUCCACUUUAUUUUAACCAUGCCUGCAUUUCUUGGAGUCAGUGUGAUUAACACCUGACAUUCACAUCGGGGGACAAAGGAACCCUUCUGCACUGCUGGUGGCAAUGUCAAUGGGUCCAACCCUGUGGAGAGCAGUCUGGAGAUCUCUCAAAAGGCUAGAUAGAAGUGGACCUACCCUAUGACCCUGCCAUUUCUCUCCUGGAGAUACAUCCUAAGGAACCCAACACACCCAUCCAAAAAGAUUUGUGUUUACCUAUGUUCAUAGCAGCACAAUUUGUAAUAGCCAAAACCUGGAAGCAACUCAGGUGUCCAAGAACAGAUCAGUGGCUGAGCCAGUGGUGGUCUGUAUACACAAUGGAAUACUACUCAGCUAUUAAAAAUGGUGAUUUCACCUUCUUUACUCCAUCUUGGAUGGAGCUUGAAGGAAUCAUGUUAAGUGAGAUAAGUUAGAAACAGAAGGAUGACUAUGGGAUGAUAUCACUCUCAGGCAGAAGUUGAAAAACAAGAUCAGAAGGGAAAAGACUAAGCAGAUCUUCUUGGACUGGAGUUGGUGUA
This is a long non-coding RNA of Erinaceus europaeus (western European hedgehog), 2018 nucleotides long. RefSeq lists it as uncharacterized. The record is from RefSeq and is a predicted model, not a curated record. NCBI's taxonomy places the organism in Eukaryota, Metazoa, Chordata, Mammalia, Eulipotyphla, Erinaceidae. The transcript has 3 exons.